UCAAAGAAAAAAUGAUGAAGUAAUCAAAUAUUUCAAAAACUCCUUUUUCUGUCAGAGAUUGUAUGUUUUAGUAGUGCUGCUUGCUCUCAUUACAAUUAUCGGGGUUUGGUUAAUAGCAAUAUGCAUGAAUCUUACAGUCUGAGUGUACAUUUCACUUUGUAGUUUGCUCAUCUGGAAAAUGGUUCAAAUAUAUCUCUCCUUUUUAAUUUGUUAGAAAAAGUUGUACAAUGUACUUAUAUCAGUGGAUAUUUAUGAGUGUACAUUUUUUAGAAUUGGCCCAUAUGAAAACACAACUUAAUAUUUUUGUUAUUGUUUAAUUAUCUUUAUUUGCUAUUUUAUUGAUACAAACAUUACAUUGCCUUUCACUCUUUGGGGUUUCUCUUUCUUGAAUUGUGCAAUGUUCAUGGAGUUCAGCAGCCAUUUGCAAUUAGUUUAUUAGGAAUUUAAUCGGUAUGCUAUCUGAUAUUUAGUAGUGUAUCAUGCUAAACAGGUGCAUUCCUUACUGAAGUUG
RNAcentral lists this unclassified non-coding RNA (511 nucleotides) under Hevea brasiliensis (rubber tree). Lineage: Eukaryota; Viridiplantae; Streptophyta; Magnoliopsida; Malpighiales; Euphorbiaceae. The record is from RNAcentral.